Molecule: ribosomal RNA, 496 nt
Filed under: uncultured Methanomicrobiales archaeon
Lineage: Archaea; Methanobacteriati; Methanobacteriota; Methanomicrobia; Methanomicrobiales
Description: bacterial SSU rRNA
Rfam family: Archaeal small subunit ribosomal RNA
Source: RNAcentral
GCCCGCUCAGAAACUCAAAGGAAUUGACGGGGAGCACCACAACAGGUGGAGCCUGCGGUUUAAUCGGACUCAACGCCGGGAAACUCACCAGAUAAGACAGCUGAAUGAUAGUCGGGCUGAAGACUCUACUUGACUAGCUGAGAGGAGGUGCAUGGCCGUCGUCAGUUCGUACUGUGAAGCAUCCUGUUAAGUCAGGCAACGAGCGAGACCCACGCCAACAGUUGCCAGCUCGUCCUCCGGGAUGGUGGGGACACUGUUGGGACCGCCUCUGCUAAAGAGGAGGAAGGAAUGGGCAACGGUAGGUCAGCAUGCCCCGAAUUAUCUGGGCUACACGCGGGCUACAAUGGGUGGGACAAUGGGUAUCGACACCGAAAGGUGAAGGCAAUCUCCUAAACCCAUCCGUAGUUCGGAUUGUGGGCUGCAACUCGCCCACAUGAAGCUGGAAUCUGUAGUAAUCGUGUCUCAAAAUGGCACGGUGAAUAUGUCCCUGCUCCUU